RNAcentral lists this small RNA (4528 nucleotides) under Rattus norvegicus (Norway rat). RNAcentral's name for it is "uncharacterized LOC102554815". The record is from RNAcentral. Lineage: Eukaryota; Metazoa; Chordata; Mammalia; Rodentia; Muridae.
CCGAGGUGCCGGCUCUGCUCCGGCUUCCCGCAGCGCGGAAGACGCUCGGUCGGGUUGGGUCUACCGGGAUCACAGCGUCCUGCAGAGGCGCAGGAGCAGAAGUCCCAGUGCGCGCGCAGCCGCACAGAGCGCCGCCGCCGGGGGUCAGAAAACAGCCCAGCGGGCACUUCCGCCCUCCGAACCAGAGCGAACCGCAGCGCCCGUAGCCCACCGUAAGUCCAGUCACCCUCGGCGCCCGGAGAUGACGUCACCCGCCCACGUGGCCAGCGCCCCGCCCUCUGAGUUCCGCCCAACCGGGCAAGACCCGAGCUGCUCCUGAGCGUGCGCAGAGACAAGGAGCGCCUGAGCUCGCAUUGAGUCCGCUGGUUUCCUUCUUGGACCAACAGAACGCGUACGUUGGUGUUCCCGGUUGUCAGUUGUAGAAGAACAGAGAAAUAAAGGACCCUGAGACGUCCGCUGCCGCGGUAGCGGCAUUUUUCUCUUCCUCACAAAACAGUAUUGUAAAAACCUUACUGUUAAGAGUGAUUGGGGUGGUUUGGUUGGGCUAGAGUCAGGACAGAGGUGUCAAGCUGCAACUACAGCAGAUCUGGGACUUAAGGAGUUUGUCUCGGGCUGCUCAGCCUCCCAAGUGCGAGAACUGCAGACGCGAGCCACCACACCUGGCUUUCAAGGAACUUUUCGGUUUCAUGAGGUCCCAUUCACUAACUGGUGUUCUCAGUGUUUGCCCCGUCUGUGUUCUACUCAGUCAUCUCCUACGGCAAUGCACCCAAGCUUAGUCACCACUUUCUCCUCUGUCAGGUCCGGUGUAUCCGGUUUUCUGUUGAGAUCUUCGAUGCACUUGCACUUGAGUUCUGCAGGAUGAUGAGUGUCUCAGUUCUCCAGAUAAAACUUCAAGUACUGUAUUAAAUGGAUAUGAAGAGAACAAACAGCCUUGCUUUGUUCCUGAUUUUAGUGGAGUUUCUUAAAGUUUCUAUCCAUUUUUGGAAAAUAAUUUGAGGAGUAUUGGCAUUAACUCUUCUUUGUGCUCUGGGCUUGUUUUGGUUGAUUUUGAUGACUGCUCUUCAGUAGGAAUUAUAAGUCUGUUUCAAAUGUUUACCUUAUUGUCUUAGUCAAAGUUUGUAUUUCUGCACCAAACAUCAUAACUUGGCCUUCUCCCUUGCAGUUUUAAUAUUUUUUCAGUAUGUUUUGUGUUUUUAUUAUUAUAUGCUGAAAGGACUCUCUAUUUUGGUUUGAUCUAUUUCGUGUUCUGUAUGCUUCUUGUAUGCAUCUUCUUCUCUAGGUUGUAAAAUUUUUCUUCUAUGAUUUUGUUCAAUAUAUUUUCUGAAACUUCAAACUGCUUUCUGUCUUAUUAUGAGGCUUCCAGGACCCACAUGCAAUUUAAAUAAGACACAGAGACGUCUAUGUAGUUUAAAGCUGUUGGCCUUGUCCUAGGUCAAUCUCUCAGCUAGCUCAUCUAAAUUUAUCCUAACUUCUCUGCCUCCUGUCUCCUCAUGUGAUUCUCACUAUCUGCUCUCUCCAUUCUGCUUCUUUCUGUGUCUCCGUCCAUCUGUGCAUCUCUUUGAGUCUCCUGCAUCUCCUUCCCUCUCUACCUAGGAGUCCCUCCCUAGAUCCAGCUCCAGGUUUGGCCAUCAGCUCUUUAUUAUACAAAAAGCAUAGUCCAGCCUUUACCAAUCAGCAGCAAGAUGAUCUGGUCCAUCUCUUAGGGUGGCCCUUAGGCAAUGAGGCCCAUCUGACCUUCAUCUUUGGGCAGGUGAGGAAGGGCAAGCAUUUCCAUAUAGAAAACCAGUGAUGGGCUAGAAAUGACAGUACCAAGAUCCUGUUAGGUUUUACAAUUAACAAUUGAAAAAUACAGGGACAUACCUUCAAAGGGAAGAUCACCCCGACAUCUUCCCCUUUGUCUUAGCGUUUUUCAUUGCUGUGAGCAGAUACCAAUGACCAGGGAAAUUCUUAUUAAGGACAACAUUUAAUUGGGGCUGGCUUACAGGUUCUGAGGUUCAGUCCAUUAUCAUCAUGAUAGGAAGCAGUGUCCAGGGAGGCCUGGUCCUGAAGGAGCUGAGAGUUCUACAUCUUGUUCCAAAGGCAAACAGGACACGGCUUCUUUCUAUAAACUGAGGUUGCUGUUGGGGUAUUUGUUGCUACUACCGCCCCAAAUUACUGCAAGCUGUUUACCAAUCUUCACAGAUGACAUAAUUUUAUCAUUGAUAUACAGUAUUUUAAUCCCUACUGGGUCUGUUCCUGAUAAUUGACAAAGUCUUAAUCUUCCUUUUACAAUCAAGUCAGGACCUUUUACAUAGGUCUCAAUUUUUUUACUCUGUUUAUAUGCUAAAAAUAUCCAUUCUAAGACAAUAAUCUUUCCUCUGCAUAAGAAUUCCUGUGGGAGAAUGAGUAGAAGGCAAAAUAACUAAAAUCCCAUCAAUCUUUGGAUCCAAGCACUCCAUGUGUGCUUCCGGUAAUCUCUUUUCUACCAGAGCCAAUUUUCUCUCAGUUUUUACUGAUAAUUUUCCCAGACUAUUUAAUUCUGACUCACCUUGUAAGAUUUGAAAUAAAUUACUUAGCUCUUGAAUAGUUAAUCCGGUUUUAACCGAUAGCCAGUUAAUAUCUCCCAGCCAUUUUUGAAAAUCAUUAUGAGUUUGUAAUUGAUCUAUUAUUAUGUAUAUUUUCUGUGGAUGAAUUUUCUGUAAACCUAUCUUAUAUCCUAGAUAAUUAGUAGAAUCUUCUCUUUGUAUUUUUUUCAGGAGAAAUUCAUAUUCCCCAACAAGGCAAACUUAUCCUUCCUUCAUCAAAUAUUUCCCUGAGGAAUCUGAAUCAGCCAGUAAUAUAUUAUCCAUAUAAUGAUAAAUUAUAGAUUCAGGAAAUUGUUCAUGGGUAUGAACAUUGUUCAUUCUAAUGGCUGUUGUACAAAUAUUGACAUAAGGGAACUUGGACGGUUGGGAAAACAAUGAUCCAGAGAGGCAUUGCCAUCCAUACGAUUCUGACAACAAGUUCACUGUGCUGUGUCCAGAGGCGAUGAGAAAGAAGUGAUGUGUCUCCACUUGAAGAGUCAUAUACAUGACAAGGAUAACAGACAACGGUCAGGGGCUUGGAAGCAAAGGAUGAGGGGCCAUGAGAUUAAAAAGGUCAUCCUGAGACAGCAGAACCGAGGACUCUUCAGAGGAAGCCUCCUCAGCGGAGAUGGUGCAGUUCCUAGGGGAGUGUAUCCCCAGCUCAGCUGAGGAGUUCAGGAACCUCAGCUCUGCCCCUCAUUUUUUCUCUUCUCUCAUUGCUUCUUGAGUUUUCCGGAUUGAGGAUUGAUGGGAGAUCAAAUUCUGUGCUUGGGGAGCACAGCAAUUGACAUCUCGGAUGCACCCAGGAAAAUGUGACUCUGAUUCCUUGAAGCACUGCUUAUUGAAGCACGGUGUUGUAAGGACUUCCUAACAGAUAUAUUUACACGGAGUGCCUUGCAGUAUACCAGAGUCCCAAAACGACAAGAAGAUUAGGGGUGGUCCAUGUGCUGAGCCACCUAAAGGAUCCUUCCAUUUGACCAUAUUGAAAGAGGAUUGUGUAUGAGGAUGCCAAAAUCUAUCUUCAGCAGAUCUGCCGUCCUUGUCUAAUGGGAAAAAUGUAAUCCCUUGAGGAUUAUAAGAAUUCCCUGUUUCACGAGUUAUGUUAAAUUGUGACCAAAACUUCAUAAAUGACUUUCUAAGUCUAACUCAUCUUCAUCUGGGAAUUCGGCCAGAGAAGGGAGAGGAGGCACAGGGGCAGCUGCAGAUGGUUGCUCCCCAGCACCCUGCGUUCUUCAAUGUCCUCAACUACUACUCAGCUUGUGUAAUUUUUGAGACUCAUGGCCAGGAUCUAAAUCAUCCCUGAUUAAAGCCCACAAAGGAAAAGUAAGUACUGGGACCUUUUCAGGUCCAGGAACAGUGCAAUAAUCUGCUAAGCAUUUUCCAAUUUUCCCCCAAGUUUUCAUAUUUACCGUUCCUUGCUCUAGGAACCAAGGACAAACUUCCUCAAUAAACUUUAAAGAUCUCAUCAACAGUGAGAACUCACCUCAGCCCCUUGUGUCUUUAACUUGCCUUUAAGCAUUUGGACAAGCAACAGCCCACUGCUAGACAGUCCCAUUGCACAGCAUGCUGACUCUCUCUCUCUCUCUCUCUCUCUCUCUCUCUCUCUCUCUCUCUCUUCUCUCUCUCUCUGUUUUAAUUGAGCACUCCUCGGCAGUGGCCCUCACUGAAUCCCCAAGCUGUACCCAGCCUGCAGGUACAAGUCAACCUAGAACAGGAAUGGGGGAGUGAGGAUGAAAAGAGAGACACAAGGAAUGGACUCAAGCCUGAUCCUGGACAAGACUCAGUUUAGUACUGUUGGUCCAGCUUAUAAGCACUCCAGCAAACAAAGCUCUUCCUGAGAAAGAUCCUUUAAAGACUCAGUGUAGAUGAGAGUUCUCUUGACUGCACACACUGCUCUCUGACCUUGAGUGCACACACUGCUCUCUGACCUUGAGUGCACACACUGCUCUCUGACCUUCACUGCACACACUGCUCUCUGACCUUCA